GCAAAAGCCAGGCGAGCAGCCGCGGAGAUAGGAGGGGUGGAAGCGUUAAGCGGAAAUACUGGGCGUAAAGCGUGCGCAGGCGGCUGAUUAAGUCAGAUGUGAAAUCCCUAGGCUCAACCUAGGAACUGCAUUUGAAACUAAUAAACUAGAGUAUCGUAGAGGGAGGUAGAAUUCCAGGUGUAGCGGUGAAAUGCGUAGAUAUCUGGAGGAAUACCAGUGGCGAAGGCGACCUCCUGGACGAAAACUGACGCUCAAGCACGAAAGCAUGGGGAGCAAACAGGAUUAGAUACCCCGGUAGUC
This 300-nucleotide ribosomal RNA is filed under the name uncultured Ferroglobus sp. RNAcentral describes it as "bacterial SSU rRNA". It matches the Rfam family "Bacterial small subunit ribosomal RNA", at positions 496 to 795 of the family's 1533-position model. The record is from RNAcentral. Lineage: Archaea; Methanobacteriati; Methanobacteriota; Archaeoglobi; Archaeoglobales; Archaeoglobaceae.